UGGUACGGUGUGUAUUCUGGGUGAAAUUCACGGUGAAUUUCAUUUCCCAAAAUUCAUUCUCUUCCCCACGUCUUGGAGUAACCUAUUCCAUCCGCAUUGACCCUAAUUCAUGAAUUUCAAAUUUAUUCUCUCCCACGUAUUUGAAUGCCCAAUUCCAUCUGGAUCUCUCUCUCCCCACCCUCCCCUCGCAGCUCCAAACCCUAAGAAUUCUCUGCAAACCCUAGUUUUGUGCGAUGGCGGUAAGAAGGUCAAGCUCUGCAACUGCUCGAAGCACUUCAGGUCAAUAUGUCAAAGAUAGAUGAUGCACAAAGACGAUGAAUGUGCGCUACUUUGAAUUUGAAUGAAAAUUAUGAAUAAACAGGAUUUGGAAGAUUAUGCCUCAUAAGGAAAAUAUUUAGUCUUCCAUAA
This is a long non-coding RNA of Malania oleifera, 408 nucleotides long. RefSeq lists it as uncharacterized. The transcript has 2 exons. The record is from RefSeq and is a predicted model, not a curated record. Lineage: Eukaryota; Viridiplantae; Streptophyta; Magnoliopsida; Santalales; Ximeniaceae.